UAAUAGCUCACUAGUCGAGUCGGCCUGCGCGGAAGAUGUAACGGGGCUAAAACUAUAUGCCGAAGCUGCGGAUUUGCAAUUUAUUGCAAGUGGUAGGGGAGCGUUCUGUAAGCCGAUGAAGGUGUAUUGAGAAGUAUGCUGGAGGUAUCAGAAGUGCGAAUGCUGACGUGAGUAACGACAAUGCGAGUGAAAAACUCGCACGCUGAAAGACCAAGGGUUCCAGUCCAACGUUAAUCGGGGCUGGGUGAGUCGACCCCUAAGGCGAGGCCGAGAGGCGUAGUCGAUGGGAAAUUGGUUAAUAUUCCAAUACUUCUGUGUAAUGCGAUGAGAGGACGGAGAAGGUUAAGUCAGCCUGGCGUUGGUUGUCCAGGUGGAAGGUUGUAGGCAUGUAUCUUAGGCAAAUCCGGGGUACUCUAUGCUGAGAACUGAUAGCAAGCUGUACUUGUACAGUGAAGUGGCUGAUACCAUGCUUCCAGGAAAAGUCUCUAAGCUUCAGUUACAUAGGAAUCGUACCCGAAACCGACACAGGUGGUCAGGUCGAGUAGACCAAAGCGCUUGAGAGAACUCUGCUGAAGGAACUAGGCAAAAUGGUACCGUAACUUCGGGAGAAGGUACGCUGCCGACGGUGAUAGGAUUUACUCCUUGAGCUAUUGGCAGCCACAGAAACCAGGCCCCUGCAACUGUUUAUUAAAAACAUAGCACUCUGCAAACACGAAAGUGGACGUAUAGGGUGUGAUGCCUGCCCGGUGCUGGAAGGUUAAUUGAUGGGGUUAGCGUAAGCGAAGCUCUUGAUCGAAGCCCCAGUAAACGGCGGCCGUAACUAUAACGGUCCUAAGGUAGCGAAAUUCCUUGUCGGGUAAGUUCCGACCUGCACGAAUGGCAUAAUGAUGGGGGCGCUGUCUCCAGCAGAGACUCAGUGAAAUCGAAUUCGCCGUGAAGAUGCGGUGUACCCGCGGCUAGACGGAAAGACCCCGUGAACCUUUACUGCAGCUUGACAUUGAACUUUGAUCUUACUUGUGUAGGAUAGGUGGGAGGCUUUGAAACCGAGACGCUAGUUUCGGUGGAGCCAAUCUUGAAAUACCACCCUGGUAAUAUUGAGGUUCUAACUCUGCUCCAUUAUCUGGAGCGAGGACCAUGUCUGGUGGGUAGUUUGACUGGGGCGGUCUCCUCCUAAAGAGUAACGGAGGAGUACGA
This 1194-nucleotide ribosomal RNA is filed under the name wastewater metagenome. Its description in RNAcentral is "bacterial LSU rRNA". It matches the Rfam family "Bacterial large subunit ribosomal RNA", at positions 1135 to 2313 of the family's 2925-position model. The record is from RNAcentral.